This 71-nucleotide transfer RNA is filed under the name Stegodyphus mimosarum. It matches the Rfam family "tRNA". Rfam says of the family: Transfer RNA (tRNA) molecules are approximately 80 nucleotides in length. Their secondary structure includes four short double-helical elements and three loops (D, anti-codon, and T loops). The record is from Rfam by way of RNAcentral. Lineage: Eukaryota; Metazoa; Arthropoda; Arachnida; Araneae; Eresidae.
GCCUUUGUGGUGUAAUGGUAGCAUACUCGGCAUGUAUUUGAGAGGUCCAGGUUCGAAUCCUGGAGAGGACA